GAGUAUUCUCCCUCAAACAGUUUGAAGGUUAGAGAUCCCUUGUUGUGCAUUCACUUGCCUCCAUGGCUAAGUGGCUUAACCCCAACUAUGCCGUGGACACCCUCCUUUUGGAGUGACUUUUUGAAGGAUUAUUUUGUGAAAACAAGUUCAUUUAAGCAACAUCAAUAAGCAUGCAAUUAACAAUUAAAGGCGGAAUCAUGCUUGCAUGCACUUAAAAACAAAACUUUAACCAUGAAAUUCAAAGCCUAGUAGAUUGGUGAACCAAAACUCAACUCAAAACAAAGUGAGUUGAAAUUUAUACCUUUGUAGAUUCCUCUUUGCAUAAGCAAAGGCUAAUCACCCAAAGAGAGGGCCUUCAUUCCUUGCAUCUAAAAUCUAUGGAUUUGGAUGGAUGAAUAGGUUUCUCCAAGUUCCCAAAAUUGAGAACCUCUAAGUCUCUUCACCAAGGAGAGAUUGGAGAAGAAAUGAGUGACCUUGGAGUAGUGGGAUUGCAAGAUGCACCACCCAAGGUGGCCGGCCUCUUUAGAGAGAAAUGGAGAGACAAGUUCUCACCAAUUUUCUCCAAAACAAACCCUUAAUGAAUUUUGGCUAUAAAGUCAUAUUUAUACAUUUAUUCAUUUGAGUGGCAAACUUGUAAAUAAGUCCAAGUUCACUACCCUAAACAAUAUGGCCGGCCAUUAGGAUAUUUUGGACUAAUUGGGCCUUUGUGAAUCAUUAUUCAUUAAGUUGUCAUACAACUUACGUUAAUGGGCUUGACGUUCGAAGCCCAUUGGGCCUUAAGGUCCAAAACUAUCCCGAGGUCUUUAACGAACUUAUUCGUUUGAUUAAUUAACAUAUUAAUUAAUCCUUGCCAUAAAUAAAUGAUUAAACCAUUUAAUCAUUCUUACUCAUCUCCAUUGUUUCUUCAAUCUCCACCUUACACGGUGUGCGAUCCAUUAGGUUCCUUUUAGCGAGGCAGUGGGCGAUUAAAACCAUUUUACAUCGAUUGUGAAUUGAAACUUACUUUCAAUUCUCCCUUUAGUGAUUACACACGUUUAGGGCUUCCACAAACCAUGAGUGACACCUUGCAACAUAUCAUGGUUACCCAAGCUAAUCAGAAGAGGUAGAGAAAACCUAUUCAGUUUCGGAUUACAAAUGCAAUACGGUCUUUCUCUAAUACAAUACUCUUGACCACAUUGUUUGGUUUGAUAGUUUAUUUAUUCAUGUCUACUAUCCAAUGUGAUUCGUGUGCUUAUAUGAUUACCUUGAAUGUGAUUUGGAACGCUUUCCUAAAUCUCAUUCAUACUCUGGCCAGAGAUUCUAAAUCAUAUCAUAGAGUAUUCUCCCCCAACGGUUUGAAGGUUAGAGAUCCCUUGUUGCGCAUUCACUUGCCUCCAUGGCUAAGUGGCUUAACCCCAAUGAUGCCGUGGACACUCCAAUGUAAUGACGUUUGACAUAAUCAAAGAUCAAGGACUUAACCACAAGACAACUGUGAUGCCUCAGGUCAAAUGACUACUUUGCAUUAUCCCAACCAUGAGUUCUCACUUUGCAUUAUCCCAACCAUGAGUUCUCAUGUGACAUGAGUAUGCGAACUCUUCGUUGAUCGCGUUCAGUGAACUCAUUCUCUACUGAGCACCUACGUACUUGUCUUGAUGUCACACACACCAAUGACUCGAGACUAGUCACUCUCCCUGAGAGAAGACAUAGCAAAUACCGAUCUUGACGGACUGUCAAUGCCCAAUUAGCAAUCCUAUGAUCAGGAACAUUUAGGAUGUGUCUACGAAAGAAUGGUCUCAUGAAUCUAACUUCAUUAGAUUACAUUCUCCCAAUCACAUAUUCCUUGGACUUUAUCGUUUAAGCAUAUAACAUUUAUAUGGGACAGCUCAAACAAUAAUCUAUGCCCUUUAUAUGUAAACUAGAUUAGUUUAACAUGUGAAAUGUCCGUAAAGUAUCAUCAUAUGAUUGGCUUUAGGGCACAUUUCCAACACUUUUGAUAUAAUCAAAGAUCAAGGAUUUAACCACAAGACAACUAUGAUGCCUCAGGUCAAAUGACUACUUUGCAAUAUCCCAACCAUGAGUUCUCAUGUGACAUGAAUAUGAGAACUCUUCGUUGAUCGUGUUCAGUGAACUCAUUCUCUAUUGAGCACCUACGUACUUGUCUUAAUGUCACACAUGCCAAUGACUCGAGACUAGUCACUCUCCCUGAGAGAAGACACAGCACGUACUGAUCUUAACGGACUGUCAAUGCCCAAUUGGCAAUCCUAUGAUCAGGAACGUUUAGGAUGUGUCUACGAAAGAAUGGUCUCAUGAAUCUAACUUCUUUAGAUCGCAUUCUCCCAAUCACAUAUUCCUUGGACUUAUCGUUUAAGCAUAUAACAUUUAUAUGAGACGACUCAAACAAUAAUCUUUGCCCUUGAUAUUUAAACUACAUUAGUUUAACUUGUGGAAUAUCCGUAAAGUAUCAUCAUAUGAUUGGUUUUAGGGCACAUUUCCAACAAUCUCCCACUUGCACUAAAGCCAAUCAGCUUGGUCAUCAGUGAUGAUACCUCUUCUGUAGUCAUUUCAUAAAUGGCUGAGUAGUAGGCCUAGACAAUGGAUAUCUAUAUGUUAUCCAUAGAAGCAACCUUGAGAAUAAUGACGUCACCAUUAUACAUGAUUCUUAAUCAUGUGGUUCAGUCUCUCAUUUGAGUUCGGAUCUUGAUGAGACCUUGAUUCCCUGGCUUGAGCUAUUGCCCCAUUAGUGUCGUAGUGUCGGUACACUAGAGACACUUUCUGGUUGGAACCGAAUAGAGAGUUCAUAAAUGAACUUUCCCAUCCAAACAACAAUGUUGUAAGCUUCUAUAUGGCAAUAUAUAUUUUGCAUUCAUAAUGGAACAUACUAAAGUCAUUACUUUUAAUGUUUCCAUCCAAAUAUCUCUUUAGUCAUAAUAAAAAAGAUAUCUAAUUAUCUCUUCAUUCAUAAUGAAGAAACAUCCAAUGAUGGAUUAGAUUCAUAAUCUAAUACAUUUACACUUCCUUUACGUUGCUCUAAUUCUUCCUCAUUCUUUGAGGAAUCUAUCCUUUAGUAUUUCUUAAAUACUUAAGGACUCACUUGACAGUUGCCAUGGUUCUGAUCCUGGGCUUGCACUGAUAUCCUCUUGUACAGUUCUAGGCACAACUCAUAUCAAUGUUUUUCAUACAAUAUGAAAUACAUAAAUCACCUUUAUGCGUAUGCAUAAAGGAUUCUAUUUACGCAUUAUUUCUUUGGGAGUCAAAGAGUACGUUCUCUUUGAGAAGAGCAACUUCUUAGUCUCACUAAAGUUGUCCUUCGAAUUGAAGUUUAUCAUCAUAUGAGAAACUUCCUAGCAUCUAUUGUCUAUUAUUAGGGAUUGAUAUAAUCAAAUUAUAUCAUGAAAUAUAUCAUUAUAGAUUUCCAUCCCAUGUAUAUAGACUAUAUCUCCCAUAUUCAUUCUAUCUUCAUAUAAUGUUUUAAAGUCAUAACUUUAACGAAGAAGAAUUCUUUUCAUUUCCAAAAUUAAUAUAUCAAAUAUAUAUUUAAAUUUUAGGAACAUGAUUAACUCCCACUAAUCUUUUGUAAACCUAGUAAACAAAAGAUUCAUUUACAUCUUUAUGAGAAAUCAAACGAUUUGAUCAUUUUCUCAUAAGAUGCUCAUAGCUCCCACUAGCUUGCUUAGAUUCAUGAUGGAUGGAUCUUUACAACUUACAUGUCUUGUGAUUCAUAGUUUUAGACAUAUAUUAUCAAGACUAUCUUAAUAAUGGUUUCGGAAACCUAUAUUAUGUCCAAACAUUGAAUCACCAUUUAGUUGUAGCUAGCUAUCCUCAAAUUAAUUGAAACCAAGACUACGUCAAAGAUGGUUUCUUCAAAGUCAACCAUUCUUUUUUAUUGUAGUUAUCUUAAGCUACCAAUUAGCUUAUGAAGGUUUCAUUAUUUCGGGUCAAAUGGUGCUUUACCAUUUCCUUGAGUAUAUAUCAUAUAUACACUCAAUGUAGUCAUAAGAAUUUUCAUUCUUAUUUCUUUCGAAUUAAGAGGUGUAACUCUAUGACAUAGUCAUAAAGUUCCAACCAUUCAACUCAGACGGUUUAUAAAUCCUUCUCGACUACCUUGGAGUUUGUGGUAUAGGAACUAGGUUGUUAUAUUUGUUGAUCACUAUCUUGUUUCUUAAAGAACCAUUCUUUGAGUUCUAUCCCUCGUUCAUUUGCUCUAUCUUGGGCAAAUCCUAGUGUAGGAUUACAAUGAACUACCCAACAAAACAACAUUUGUUAGUUGGUUUAUAGAAGCGAUAUCCAAAAGUUAAUUUAAGGAUAUCCCACAAGACUGUUAUCAAACAAAUAUUGCUUAUUAGCACACAACCCCAAAUCUUAACAUGAUUAAGAUUUGUCUUUCUUUCCAACUACAUCUUAUGGAGUCAUGAAAAAAAAUUUUUUUGGAAGAUCUUCUAAUUGACAAUCAUAUUGUCUUAGAAGUAUAUAUCCUAUAUAUGGGUAAUUGAUAAUAUCCAAUGAACUAAAUCUUAUUCAAGUUCGUUCUUCUCCUUAUGGAGAAAUCCAUUAUCAUAUGAUGCUUCUUUCCUUGAUAUCUUUCAAGGAAACUAUUCUAAAGUGUUACCUUUCCUUGGAUCAAAUCUAAGGAGGCAAAUACUUUAGACGUCUUACUCAUCAACUUACAUUUCUUGAAUUCUUUGAAAACUUUUGCAAAGUAUUCGGACUUGUGUUUAUUUAAAAUAAACUAUAGUCCAACCGAGGGUGAUCUUCGGUGAAUGUCAUACAACAUGAGUAGUAUUAUGUUGUGGAUAAGUGCCACUAACAUCUAAGUGAAUCAACCUCAACAACUUUGUGAUUCUUUAUUCUUUCCAAAAGAAUAAAGAUUCAAACAUUUUGCCUCUAUACAAUUUUAACAAGAAGGUAUUGAAUCCAGAUCUAACGAUCCAAAGCAUCCAUCUAUGACCAACUCGUAAUUUAUGUUUUUAGAGGUAUCACAACUCAGUUGGGAUUAGUCACUACCUUGCAACCUUUUGGGUUUAAGCAUCAUUGUAUUCUAAACAGUUAACACUACCAUAUCAUCUCUACUAUAGAGACAAUCAAUUAGAUUACUAUAAUCCAAUCAUUGAUUAAUAAAGAACAAUGUUUUGUCAAACAAAACAUUCAUCCAUCUCUACUAUAGUGACGGAAUUAAGUUCCUUAAAAUUGGAAUGUAAAGACAAUCUUUGGUUUUUCCAAUUUCUUUGGUAGUUCAUAUGAGGAAGUAAGUACUAUCUGCUUUUGCAGAGAUCUUUAUUUUAUUCACGUUCCGAAUGUGAAGCACCUUUUUCUUCUCUCAUAUAUCUUCUACUUCUUAUUAGUCACACUUUUACAACGAUUGUAAAACAUAGUUACUAAUACGGAAUCAAGCAUUCAAGUAGGAGAACCAACUGUUUUGAACUUUUCAAGAACAAUUUACAACACCUUCGAAAGGUGUGUUCUUGACACUUGCAAGACAUUUCUUGCAAAUACCCCUUCCAAUGUCCAUCCUUUCAUAAAGAAAGAUUGUUCCCUUGGAGUUAAUUUUAUUUUCUUUAUUUGACUUCUCCUUUGACUACAAUAGUCAUGGUCCCUAAACUCCCACUAUCUCUCUUGAAACUUAUUUCAAUUGUGUUAUACACAUCAAACGAUUUGGAGAGCGUGUGGUUAUUGUUCACUAUAUAGUUUACAAUAAACUUAGUGAACCAUUUGGAUAGGGACACAAAGGUGAAGUCCUUGCCUAGUUUCCGUUUCUAGAAGUGGUUUAACACUUCAACACUCAAUGAUUCAAAAUCAUCAUAAGUCCAUGUUGAUGGACUAUUUUUGUCAACCAACCAUUAUGUUCUAAACAUAAUUACAAACUUUCAAGAGUUGUUCAAGGCAACUCUCAUUUCUUCAUACAACAAUUUGUAAGUGAAGAAUCAUGGCACAUAAAGUGUCCAUGCCUUUGUGCUUUCUUCUUAAGUUCUUUGUUCAUUUAACAAAGAAACAAGCACUAGUGUUUGCAUUGACUAAGGGUUGUUCAAAGCAACUCUUAUUUCUUCAUACAACAAUUUGUAAUUGAAGAAUUAUGACAUUAAAAGUGUUAUCCUCUUUAUGAUAGACUUUUUCUAACAUAUUCUUCUAAUGAUACAUUAUCAAUAGGAAGAUUGUGAGGAUGAGACUACUUAGGUACAUUUACAAGCCAUUAAAGACAAUCUAUGGUUUUGUAGUACCAAGUCCGGAAAUUAAAGAUUUCGGCUUUUAUUUGUCAAGUGUUGGAUAGCGUUUGCAAAUAUAUUGGUAAAUAAAUACAUAACGAAUAUAAAUCGAUUGAUUUUAAGCCAUUUGAUUCGGGUCUUUAAAUCAAAUAGCACCACCCACUAUUUUUGGCAAAUUCCAUAUCCCUCAUCGGAAUUCGAGAGUUUUGGAGGAAACUCUUAGUAGGGUAUGGGAGACUCACCAUUACCAAGCCCACCUCAGAAGAAAAUCAUAUUGGCUAGCGUUAAUAAUAAUGAGAGAGUACGCUUACUCAUUUGCAUCUCUUGCAAGUACCCAUCUAGUUUGGCCUCUAGAGAAUGAUGCCUCAGAAGAAUAUCAUAUUGGCACAUUGCACUUAGUUAAGUCAUUCCCACCAUGCUAGUUAAAGUAGGGGUUCAAGAAUGGCCUCAGAAGAAAAUCAUAUUGACCAUACUCGUUGCCUACCUUUACAUCAUCAUAUGUUUAUAGGCUUCUCCUGAAUGUAAGCACAUAUUUUGCAACCCCAGAACUGGAUGAAUACGGUGUAUGAGUCACAAACGAUUGAAGCCUACCACGGUGGAAGGCCACGAAAGAGUGUUCAAAGCACUCUCACGCUUAUUAACUUAAUAAUGGUUUGGUUGAGGGUUUUAGGUCUCAUCAUAUAUAAACAUACAUUUUAAUCUUAUUAAAACAAUUUUGGUCCUAUUACAACUAUUGGUCCAUUUGAUUGUUUAGUUGUAUAUAAUACUCCCACUAUGCUUAUAAAACGGUUUUUAAAGCAAGAGUAUAUGAUACUACUAACAUAAGGUUUGCAUUCAUUUGAUGGACUAUAUAGUUGCCUUAGGGCCUUAGGAUGACUAUGAACCUUUGUUUAGAUUCAACACGAGCCUAGUGUUGAAUCUCGGUCUAGGGAUGGUGAUUGAUUUUAGUUACGCGUUUAAUCACAUUAAGGCGUGUUGUCUUAGGGGCGUUGUACCCUCUACUCCAUUUUCAUGCAUAUCAAAUAAUACAAGAAAGGAGUACUUCAAAGUAAAGAAGAGCUUAUUCUCUUUUACAACAAUUGAUCAAAAUAAAUUACUUUAAAGUAAAGAAGAGCUUAUGCUCUUUUACAACAUUUGAUCAAAUCAAAUUACAACCAAAAUCUAAUCUACACAUUCCCAUGGUUCAAACAAAUUUGAAACGGCCUUUCACAUAGCUCAAUUAUCGUAGGCUUAGGUUCAUAAUCACCCUUUCUUUAAUCAAUUAACGCUUUAACCAAUUAAAAUUUGAAUGCAACAUUUUCAUUUGGUUUUUGUAUCCAUAGAAUUGAUUUAAAUGGAGCUAAAUGAAAUGAAAAUCCAAUUCUCAUUUAAAGAGACAAAACAAUUUUGUUCUCAACCUAAUUUGGGCCAAUAUGCAAUUACCACAACCUUUGGGCUAUAUUGCAAAAACAUAAACUUUUGGGGUCACUUUGUAAAACACAAAAGUCCACUACUUCAUGUAAUUACAACUAGAACCCAAAAUUUAAACAAUGCAAAAACUUCAUUAAAGGAGCAAAACAAUUUGUCCUUUAGCGUUUUUGGACCUAAACGUAAAAACGUAAACUUUUGGGCCAAAGUGCAAAUACACAAAAGUAUCAAAACUUUAUGUAAUUGCAUAAAAGCCCCAAAAGUACUCCCAUUGAGGGAAUGGCCGGUUUUAGGAGAGAUGAACCCACAAAAUUUUGAAAAUUUUUCAACAAAGUCAUAAAGUCAUAAAGUCAUGCAAGUUGAAAUUGGUUGGUGGGAACAUGUGUGUAAGAAAGAAAAAACAAUUAUGUACAUAAAUUCAAACACUCUUACAACAUUUUCAAUCACCUUUUCAAUUAAUUAAAUGUCUUGUUGAUAGAUAAUUCACACCAACCAACACAAAACAAAGACUUUAUGAAAUCAUCCAAAACUUUGAAUCAAAACACCAAACUUUUUGUUCUUGGCAAAAAUGUCAAGAAUAAUGAAGAACACUCAUGAAAAAACUCAAAAAUUUCCAUGAACAUUUUUCACCCAAAAACAUCCCAAAACCAUUUAAACUUAAGGGAAAUUACAUAUAACCAAACUAGGGUACAUAGGGGUUCCAAAAGUCACCUUAAAACACUUUUAACAAGUCAAACAAGAACCCAAAAAUCCACCCUUUGGAUUUGGCCGAAUUUCCCCAAAGUCUUGGCACCAAAUUUUAGCUCCAAUAUUCAUGCUCAGAAGAACUACAUCUACAACAUUUGAGAUGGCAAAUUUUCUAACAAAAUUUACAUUCAAAGAAACAAGAAUAAAGCUUGUAACAUAUUACAACUUUUAAAUCACAAACUAUGAACUACAAAACCCAAAAGGAUUCACCAACUACUAGACCUAGGCUCUGAUACCACUUGAAGGAAGAUUUGUGAAAAACAUGUUCAUUUAAGCAACAUCUAUAAGCAUGCAAUUAACAAUUAAAGGCGGAAUCAUGCUUGCAUGCACUUAAAAACAAAACAUUAACCAUGAAAUUCAAAGCCUAGAAGAUUGGUGAACCAAGACUCAACUCAAAUCAAAGUGAGUGAGAAAUUAUACCUUUGUAGAUUCCUCUUUGCAUAAGCAAAGGCUAAUCACCCACAGAGAGGGCCUUCAUUCCUUGCAUCUUAGAUCUAUGGAUUUGGAUGGAUGAAAUGGUUCUCCAAGUUCUCAAAAUAGAGAACCUCUAAGUCUCCACACCAAGGUUAGAUUUAAGUAGAAAAUGAGUGACCUAGAGGAAGCAAGAUUGCUAGCUAAAUUCCUCUAGGGUGGCCAGCCUCUUUAGAGAGAAAGGGAGAGACAUGUUCUCUCCAAUUUUCUCCAAAAGAAACCC
RNAcentral lists this long non-coding RNA (9024 nucleotides) under Malus domestica (apple). Its description in RNAcentral is "long non-coding RNA (MDOM_LNC015392)". The record is from RNAcentral. Lineage: Eukaryota; Viridiplantae; Streptophyta; Magnoliopsida; Rosales; Rosaceae.